GUUCGUAGGUGAACUGCGGAGGAUCAUUA
Molecule: ribosomal RNA, 29 nt
Filed under: Stereocaulon japonicum
Lineage: Eukaryota; Fungi; Ascomycota; Lecanoromycetes; Lecanorales; Stereocaulaceae
Description: partial 18S ribosomal RNA
Source: RNAcentral